AGGUGUGGAUAGGGGAGAAAUUCCAAUCGAACCCGGAGAUAGCUGGUUCUCCUCGAAAUAGCUUUAGGGCUAGCCUCGUUUUAGUCUUGUGGAGGUAGAGCACUGAAUUUCCGCGGGGGCGUCAAAGCUUACCAAAGAAUAUCAAACUCCGAAUGCCAUUAAGAUGAUGAACGGGAGUCAGACUGUACGAGAUAAGUUGGACAGUCAAAAGGGAAAGAGCCCAGACCACCAGCUAAGGUCCCAAAGUGUGUGUUAAGUGGAAAAGGAUGUGGGGAUUCAAAGACAACUAGGAUGUUGGCUCAGAAGCAGCCAUUCAUUCAAAGAGUGCGUAACAGCUCACUAGUCGAGAGUCCCUGCGCCGAAAAUGUCCGGGGCUGAAACACAACACCGAAGCUGUGGAAUCAUACCUAGUAUGAUUGGUAGAGGAGCAUUCUUAAGACCGACGAAGCUGUACCGAUAAGGAGCAGUGGAGGGAUAAGAAGAGAGAAUGCCGGAAUGAGUAGCGAGAGGAAGGUGAGAAUCCUUCCGGCCGAAUAUCCAAGGAUUCCAGGGUAAAGCUGAUCUGCCCUGGGUAAGUCGGGACCUAAGGAGAGGCCGAGAGGCGUAUCCGAUGGACAACAGGUUUAGAUUCCUGUACCACAUAUGGUCAGAACUGUGGGGACGCAGAAGGAAAGCAUGAGCCAGGAAUGGAAAGACUGGUACAAGCAGAGGGGAUGGUGUGCUGGCAAAUCCGCACACGAAAGUCCUUGCUGUGAUGUGGAGCGAACCAAAGUAGCGAAGCAUGCGGACCGGCUGCCGAGAAAAGCCGCUAUUGUGCCAUAUGUGCCCGUACCGUAAACCGACACAGGUGGAUGAGGAGAGAAUCCUAAGGCCGACGGAAGAAGUAUUGUUAAGGAACUCGGCAAAAUGACCCCGUAACUUCGGGAGAAGGGGUGCCUGAGAAAUCAGGCCGCAGAGAAUAGGCUCAAGCAACUGUUUAGCAAAAACACAGGUCUAUGCAAAACCGAAAGGUGAAGUAUAUGGGCUGACGCCUGCCCGGUGCUGGAAGGUUAAGAGGAGAGGUUAGCGCAAGCGAAGCUUUGAAUUUAAGCCCCAGUAAACGGCGGCCGUAACUAUAACGGUCCUAAGGUAGCGAAAUUCCUUGUCGGGUAAGUUCCGACCCGCACGAAAGGCGUAAUGAUUUGAGCACUGUCUCGACAAUGCAUCCGGUGAAAUUGAAGUACCAGUGAAGAUGCUGGUUACCCGCGCCAGGACGGAAAGACCCCAUGGAGCUUUACUCCAGUUUGGUACUGGGAUUCGGUACUGCAUGUACAGGAUAGGUGGGAGACGAAGAAGUUAGGACGCCAGUCUUAACAGAGUCGCUGUUGGGAUACCACCCUUGCAGUAUUGGGUUUCUAACCAGCCGCUGUGAACCAGCGGUGGGACAAUGCCAGGCGGGGAGUUUGACUGGGGCGGUCGCCUCCGAAAGGGUAUCGGAGGCGCUCAAAGGUUCCCUCAGAAUGGUCGGAAACCAUUUGAAGAGUGCAAAGGCAGAAGGGAGCUUGACUGCGACACCGACGGGUGGAGCAGGUACGAAAGUAGGACUUAGUGAUCCGGUGGUAUAAAGUGGGAUUGCCAUCGCUCAACGGAUAAAAGCUACCCUGGGGAUAACAGGCUUAUCACUCCCAAGAGUUCACAUCGACGGAGUGGUUUGGCACCUCGAUGUCGGCUCAUCGCAUCCUGGGGCUGUAGUAGGUCCCAAGGGUUGGGCUGUUCGCCCAUUAAAGCGGUACGCGAGCUGGGUUCAGAACGUCGUGAGACAGUUCGGUCCCUAUCCGGCGCGGGCGGAGGAUAUUUGAGAGGAGCUGUCCUUAGUACGAGAGGACCGGGAUGGACGGACCACUGGUGUAUCUGUUGUCGACCAACGGCAUGGCAGAGUAGCCAAGUCUGGAAGGGAUAAACGCUGAAGGCAUCUAAGCGUGAAGCCCCCCUCAAGAUGAGAUAUCCCUCCUUCGGGAGUAAGACCCCUUGAAGACUACAAGGUAGAUAGGGCAGAGGUGGAAGUGUGGCAACACAUGGAGCUGACUGUUACUAAUAGGUCGAGGGCUUGAUUAA
This 2094-nucleotide ribosomal RNA is filed under the name human gut metagenome. Its description in RNAcentral is "bacterial LSU rRNA". It matches the Rfam family "Bacterial large subunit ribosomal RNA", at positions 807 to 2925 of the family's 2925-position model. The record is from RNAcentral.